GGAUAGGGAGAGGAGCAGCUGUGGGCUGUGGAGAGGGAUGGCAAUCCCACACCAGCACUGGAACUGGAUGGGGACCUGUCCCCAGACUGAGAAGUGCCCAGGGCACCAGGUCCUGGGCUCUGCACCAGCCCGUGCUCUUCUCUCCCCAACUUCCUCCACCCUGACCAGCUCGAGUGACCAUGGAAGAAGACUGUGGGGACCAAAGACAGGCUAGACAAGGAAACACAGAAGCCUAGGAAAGCAGAAGUGGGAUGUGGAAACCAGAACUUCUGUGAGAGGCUUGGAACUGUUCCCCCUCAAGAGCCUGGCAUUGCUGUGGGUGACAUCUGUGCCACAGAAAUGACCGCAAGGGACAGGAGGGCAUGGCUGUCUGCAGCUCUGCUCUUUCUGCAGGUCCCAGGCUGUUCAUCUAUACGUGGUCCCACCUCCGUGUCGGGCACCGUGGGGGGAUCCCUGAGCGUGCAGUGUUCGUACGAACAGCAAGUGAGAGACUAUCCCAAAUACUGGUGCAGUAAGCCAUGUUUCUGGAAAAUUGUGAAGACCGAAGAGUCAGACAGAGAAGUGAAGAGCCGCCGCGUGUCCAUCAGGGACCAUCCUGCAAACCUCACCUUCACAGUGACCUUGGAGAACCUCAGAGAGGAUGAUGCAGGAACGUAUCAGUGUGGGAUCGAUACAUCCUGGUUAGGAAAAUUUGGAGAUCCCACCUUCCCCGUUGAGGUGUCUGUGACCCCAGGCAACACUGAAGCCCCCAGCAUCGUGAGGCCCCCCAGUCCCACAGGUCUUCACAGGACACUGCCAGCACCCAGGGGGCGCACUACGAUCCGGCAAGAGACCCCCAGUCCCAGCCGACAUCCCCGGUAUGAGGCUCGCACGUGGAGACCUAUGACACCGGGCUGAUUUCUAGACCACACCGGGGGCUGAGGAAUGAGGGUGUGUCUCUCUCGGCCCUGUGCCCACCCCCAGCCGGGAAGGUCUCCCCAGGCGCUCUUCUGUGGAUACAGCCCUGAGCCACUGAGACCCAAUCCCGCUCUGACAAAAGUGGGGGAAUUCACACAAGGACUAAGUCAACACACUCAUCAAGAUAAGUUUGCGCUUUCGUGAUGAGUGCUUGGAGAAAAUCCGUCAGAGGGGUCAGGGAGGGCUUGUGCGGGAGGGGGAUGGGAGUGCUAUCCAAUACACAACCGCCAGGGAGAGGACGUGUCACUGGAGGCCUGCAGGAUUUGGGGAGCCGGCACUCAGGUGCUCUGCAGAAAUGGGGCUCCAGGAAGAGGGAAGAGCAAGUGUCAAGAGUUUUAUAAAAGGCGCCUUCAGGGCUCGGCCCAGGCCAGGUGCUCUGGGAGCCGGUGGUCCCUGCACUGUCCCCGCUGCGUCCCCCCCAAACCCUGGACAGAGCAGCAUCCUGUUGAACACCAGGCCUCUGAAGGUCCCUGCUCAGCAGCGUCUACUUCCUGCUCCUGGUCUUCCUGGAGGUGCCCCUGCUUCUG
Molecule: RNA transcript, 1484 nt
Organism: Suricata suricatta (meerkat)
Lineage: Eukaryota; Metazoa; Chordata; Mammalia; Carnivora; Herpestidae
Gene: CD300C
Gene name: CD300c molecule
Exons: 4
Source: RefSeq, a predicted model, not a curated record